UGCUCUAUGCGGGAAGAAUAACCACGGUAACCUGUGGCUAAGAGUGUAGAAUAAGGUGCAAUCCUAUUAGUUUGUUGGUAGUGUAAAGGACUACCAAGGCAGUGAUGGGUAACGGGAAAUCAGGGUUUGAUUCCGGAGAGGGAGCCUGAGAGAUGGCUCCCACGUCCAAGGAUGGCAGCAGGCGCGAAAAUUGUCCACUCUUUUGAGAGGAGACAGUUAUGAAACGUGAGUAGAAGGGUCGAGUGUAAAAACCUUGACGUGAAGCAAUUGGAGGGCAAGUUUUGGUGCCAGCAGCCGCGGUAAUUCCAACUCCAAGAGUGUCUAUGGUGGAUGCUGCAGUUAAAGGGUCCGUAGUCGUAGAUGCAAUUAAAAGGUGGUGUUAAAAGCCAUUGAGUUUGUUGAGAGUAGCGGAACGGAUAGGGAGCAUGGUAUAGGUGGGCAAAGAAUGAAAUCUCAAGACCCCACCUGGACCAACGGAGGCGAAAGCGAUGCUCUUAGACGUAUCUGGGGAUCAAGGACGAAGGCUAGAGUAUCGAAAGUGAUUAGACACCGCUGUAGUUCUAGCAGUAAACUAUGCCGACAAUGCUGGGUGUUGCGAGAGCGAUGCUUGGUGUGGGAGAAAUCUUAGUUUUCGGGCUCUGGGGAUAGUACGCUCGCAAGGGUGAAACUUAAAGCGAAAUUGACGGAAGGACACUACCAGGAGUGGAUUGUGCUGCUUAAUUUAACUCAACGCGGGAAAACUUACCAGGGUCAAGUCUAUCGUAGAUUGGAGACAUGAGGUAGACAAGAGUGGUGCAUGGCCGUUGGAAAUUGAUGGGGCGACUUUUAGCUUAAGUGCUGGAACCAGUGAGAUCUUCUAGACAGGUGUUAUUUAGGCACAGGAGGGAGAAGGCAAUAACAGGUCCGUGAUGCCCUUAGAUAUCCUGGGCAGCAAGCGCAAUACAAUAUCUCUUGAGAAGACAAAGCAAUUUGAGAUGAGUAGGAUUAGCUUUUGUAAAUAA
This 1001-nucleotide ribosomal RNA is filed under the name Ecytonucleospora hepatopenaei. RNAcentral's name for it is "SSU rRNA". It matches the Rfam family "Microsporidia small subunit ribosomal RNA", at positions 108 to 1118 of the family's 1311-position model. The record is from RNAcentral. Lineage: Eukaryota; Fungi; Microsporidia; Enterocytozoonidae.